RNAcentral lists this ribosomal RNA (484 nucleotides) under uncultured bacterium. RNAcentral's name for it is "partial 16S ribosomal RNA". It matches the Rfam family "Bacterial small subunit ribosomal RNA", at positions 30 to 507 of the family's 1533-position model. The record is from RNAcentral.
AUUGAACGCUGGCGGCAGGCCUAACACAUGCAAGUCGAGCGGAUGAAGGGAGCUUGCUCCUGGAUUCAGCGGCGGACGGGUGAGUAAUGCCUAGGAAUCUGCCUGGUAGUGGGGGAUAACGUCCGUAAACGGGCGCUAAUACCGCAUACGUCCUGAGGGAGAAAGUGGGGGAUCUUCGGACCUCACGCUAUCAGAUGAGCCUAGGUCGGAUUAGCUAGUUGGUGGGGUAAAGGCCUACCAAGGCGACGAUCCGUAACUGGUCUGAGAGGAUGAUCAGUCACACUGGAACUGAGACACGGUCCAGACUCCUACGGGAGGCAGCAGUGGGGAAUAUUGGACAAUGGGCGAAAGCCUGAUCCAGCCAUGCCGCGUGUGUGAAGAAGGUCUUCGGAUUGUAAAGCACUUUAAGUUGGGAGGAAGGGCAGUAAGUUAAUACCUUGCUGUUUUGACGUUACCAACAGAAUAAGCACCGUCUAACUUCGUG